Molecule: long non-coding RNA, 243 nt
Filed under: Carica papaya (papaya)
Lineage: Eukaryota; Viridiplantae; Streptophyta; Magnoliopsida; Brassicales; Caricaceae
Description: long non-coding RNA (CPAP_LNC005083)
Source: RNAcentral
CUAAUUAAAUGAGACUGAUAUAUCAUAUUUUUAGUACAAAAUGGACUAUUAAGUUUAACUAAAAUCAAUUGAACAACAAUUUGUAACUCAAAAAUAUGAAAAAUUUAAAAAUGAAACCCAAUUCAUUUAUUAGUAUAAUAAAAGUACACGUCUAAACGAUGAAUGUACUUAUUACAUAUAUAUUAAGUAACUUUCUUGCAUGUCUCAUAGGAAGAUGCCGAACAUCAUUUGGUCCUGAGAUCU